RNAcentral lists this ribosomal RNA (429 nucleotides) under Bacteroidota bacterium. RNAcentral describes it as "Bacteroidetes bacterium partial 16S ribosomal RNA". It matches the Rfam family "Bacterial small subunit ribosomal RNA", at positions 355 to 776 of the family's 1533-position model. Lineage: Bacteria; Pseudomonadati; Bacteroidota. The record is from RNAcentral.
UAGGGAAUCUUCCGCAAUGGACGCAAGUCUGACGGAGCAACGCCGCGUGAGUGAAGAAGGAUUUCGGUUCGUAAAACUCUGUUGUUAGAGAAGAACAGCGCAUAGAGUAACUGUUAUGCGUGUGACGGUAUCUAACCAGAAAGCCACGGCUAACUACGUGCCAGCAGCCGCGGUAAUACGUAGGUGGCAAGCGUUGUCCGGAUUUAUUGGGCGUAAAGCGAGCGCAGGCGGUCAAUUAAGUCUGAUGUGAAAGCCCCCGGCUCAACCGGGGAGGGUCAUUGGCAACUGGUUGACUUGAGUGCAGAAGAGGAGAGUGGAAUUCCAUGUGUAGCGGUGAAAUGCGUAGAUAUAUGGAGGAACACCAGUGGCGAAGGCGACUCUCUGGUCUGUAACUGACGCUGAGGUUCGAAAGCGUGGGUAGCAAACAGG